RNAcentral lists this ribosomal RNA (255 nucleotides) under uncultured bacterium. Its description in RNAcentral is "partial 16S ribosomal RNA". It matches the Rfam family "Bacterial small subunit ribosomal RNA", at positions 524 to 776 of the family's 1533-position model. The record is from RNAcentral.
UACGUAGGGCGCAAGCGUUUAUCCGGAAUUAUUGGGCGUAAAGAGCUCGUAGGCGGUUUGUCGCGUCUGCCGUGAAAGUCCGGGGGCUCAACUCCGGAUCUGCGGUGGGUACGGGCAGACUAGAGUGAUGUAGGGGAGACUGGAAUUCCUGGUGUAGCGGUGAAAUGCGCAGAUAUCAGGAGGAACACCGAUGGCGAAGGCAGGUCUCUGGGCAUUAACUGACGCUGAGGAGCGAAAGCAUGGGGAGCGAACAGG